This 300-nucleotide ribosomal RNA is filed under the name Triticum aestivum (bread wheat). RNAcentral's name for it is "partial small subunit ribosomal RNA". Lineage: Eukaryota; Viridiplantae; Streptophyta; Magnoliopsida; Poales; Poaceae. The record is from RNAcentral.
AUGCAGGAGCAGAUUACAGUGAUUGGGGACAUUUGUAAGGAAUCACACUCAACAUUUCAGUCGUUCUUUAAGCACGAUGACACCACCUCUGUUGCAUCUGUUAUGAAAGAAGCAAUUCCUUGUGGUGCAAUAGAAGGUAGUGAUGAGCACUUCAUUGCCACUGAGCUUUUCAUCAAAAGAGAGCAAAGGGAGAUGUUUCUAAGCAUGAGUGCUGAAACUCGUUUGGGUUGGCUCAAGAGGAAGUUCAGCGUCAAAUGUCAUCUGAUAGUGACAGUGAUGAUGAAAACUAUUAUGAAAUGA